Molecule: long non-coding RNA, 1123 nt
Organism: Frieseomelitta varia
Lineage: Eukaryota; Metazoa; Arthropoda; Insecta; Hymenoptera; Apidae
Exons: 2
Source: RefSeq, a predicted model, not a curated record
UCUCAAGACAUGCAUCCCUCGAUCGAACCAGUCAAGAUCCAACUUGUGGCCAGUUAGCGAAGCAGUACCGUGCGUGUACACCGUCAGAUAUUGGUCGCACAGUUGGAACUAAUUAUUUCUUACGAUACGAUGUUUACAUACGAAGGCUACGCGGUGCUCAAUUAUAUGUAAUGAAGAAAAUUAUUUCCAAGUCGAACUGCAUUGAUUAUGAGUAUAUUACGAGUUCGAUAGUAUUAGGCUCAAAAUAUGCAAUUUUGUUAACACUGUUACAAUCCCCAGAACUUUCAUAGUUGCAAUUGAAAGUCACUUAUCUCAUUGCUAUUGCGAAGGACAAUUCACUUACUGAAGUUAGAUUUCUCUACGAUUACCUACAAGCGGAUACCAAUCUUCUAAAAAUCAUCUAUAAACGAUAAUGUAAGAUCGAUCAAAAUUAUCCUUAAAAACAUAAAAUUCAGAUUCCGGAAUUUCUCGGAGGAGAAAAACGUAGGAGAAUAAAAUCGACGAGUAAACGAGCAAAUGCAGGAAAGUUUCGAAGUAGAAUCGACGGAACGGUGAAGAAAGCAAAAGAAUGAGAGAGAAACAGAGUUGAGAUCGGCUAGGAGAGAACGACAAAGGGUGAGAAAAGAAAUGCUUAACCUCGAAAUCUGGCGAAUCGGCGGCUUUUGCUGAACUUACUCGUAAGAGCCACGCUGUGGCAACGGAUUCUUAAAACGCAUAACUUCGUGAUCAACGGGACAAUUAUCGUAACGUAUUUUCGCUUGAUUACGGUUGUUUACAUUCACAAAUGACCGUACGCGGGGCCGAAAUUACGUAGCAUCUCAAUUUCGACGAACAACGAGCACGCAGCACACGAAAGACUGGCAAGAGACAAGCGAAGCACCGUACGAGCUAAAGGGGGAGCAGGUGAGGUAGAGACGAAACUUGCCGGGUGAAUGGCGCACAGUGGGGUAUUUGCACUGGAACAUUGGACGAGAUUAUUUCAUAUUAAUUAUCGUUAUAUCGUUAUGUCAUCUUGACAAAGGUCAAACGAUUUAGCAUCGCGCAUCAUUCUAGCAUCGUCGAUUUAUUUCGCGAAAGAGUUAUGCGAUAUAACUGCUAACUUUCAAAGUAUCGCGUUACAUUG